This 421-nucleotide small RNA is filed under the name Shewanella oneidensis MR-1. Lineage: Bacteria; Pseudomonadati; Pseudomonadota; Gammaproteobacteria; Alteromonadales; Shewanellaceae. The record is from RNAcentral.
UGUAGACGGAACUACAGAUAACAGGAUGUUAGCGGUCAGGAUGACUGAGCAGUGUUUAGUGGAUAAACACUUAAGGAGUAGUAAGGAGAGACUUUCAGGAUGAAAGCGAUACGAACCACGGAGGGAUAGACUAUCACGGAUAGAUAGCCUAAUUGCACAGGAUUGCAAUGGCACAAGGAGUGCAGCAGAAAGGACGCAAUUGAACCUAUUUCACGGAUGAUGUUGGAACCGCUCAGGAAAGAGCAAGCUUGGUAUAAGGAACGCCAAGAGAUAGGGAAGUACUUUGAGUACAUGGAGAUAUCAUGGAUUGAACAGGGAUGAAGCAGGAUGCAAGUUGACGCAUGGAUGGUGCAGGGAGCACAACGAUAGCGGGAUAGCUUAACAAAGAACAGAAGGGCGUGGUCUUCGGACCACGCCCUUU